RNAcentral lists this ribosomal RNA (253 nucleotides) under uncultured bacterium. Its description in RNAcentral is "partial 16S ribosomal RNA". It matches the Rfam family "Bacterial small subunit ribosomal RNA", at positions 524 to 776 of the family's 1533-position model. The record is from RNAcentral.
UACGGGGGGGGCAAGCGUUGUUCGGAAUUACUGGGCGUAAAGGGCUCGUAGGCGGCCAACUAAGUCAGAUGUGAAAUCCCUCGGCUUAACCGGGGAACUGCGUCUGAUACUGGAUGGCUUGAGUUUGGGAGAGGGAUGCGGAAUUCCAGGUGUAGCGGUGAAAUGCGUAGAUAUCUGGAGGAACACCGGUGGCGAAGGCGGCGUUCUGGACUGUAACUGACACUGAUGAACGAAAGCCAGGGGAGCAAACGGG